RNAcentral lists this ribosomal RNA (429 nucleotides) under Gemmatimonadota bacterium. RNAcentral's name for it is "Gemmatimonadetes bacterium partial 16S ribosomal RNA". It matches the Rfam family "Bacterial small subunit ribosomal RNA", at positions 355 to 776 of the family's 1533-position model. Lineage: Bacteria; Pseudomonadati; Gemmatimonadota. The record is from RNAcentral.
UAGGGAAUCUUCGGCAAUGGACGAAAGUCUGACCGAGCAACGCCGCGUUAGUGAAGAAGGUUUUCGGAUCGUAAAACUCUGUUGUUAGAGAAGAACAAGGACGUUAGUAACUGAACGUCCCCUGACGGUAUCUAACCAGAAAGCCACGGCUAACUACGUGCCAGCAGCCGCGGUAAUACGUAGGUGGCAAGCGUUGUCCGGAUUUAUUGGGCGUAAAGCGAGCGCAGGCGGUUUCUUAAGUCUGAUGUGAAAGCCCCCGGCUCAACCGGGGAGGGUCAUUGGAAACUGGGAGGCAUGAGUGCAGAAGAGGAGAGUGGAAUUCCAUGUGUAGCGGUGAAAUGCGUAGAUAUAUGGAGGAACACCAGUGGCGAAGGCGGCUCUCUGGUCUGUAACUGACGCUGAGGCUCGAAAGCGUGGGGAGCAAACAGG